This 426-nucleotide ribosomal RNA is filed under the name uncultured bacterium. RNAcentral's name for it is "bacterial SSU rRNA". It matches the Rfam family "Bacterial small subunit ribosomal RNA", at positions 957 to 1385 of the family's 1533-position model. The record is from RNAcentral.
UUACGCGAAGACCUUACCUACUCUUGACAUCCUGCGAACUUGGUAGAGAUACCUUGGUGCCUUCGGGAACGCAGAGACUGGUGCUGCAUGGCUGUCGUCAGCUCGUGUUGUGAAAUGUUGGGUUAAGUCCCGUAACGAGCGCAACCCUUGUCCUUAGUUGCCAUCAUUUAGUUGGGGACUCUAAGGAGACUGCCGGUGACAAACCGGAGGAAGGCGGGGACGACGUCAAGUCAUCAUGGCCCUUACGAGUAGGGCUACACACGUGCUACAAUGGCAAGUACAGAGGGCCGCGAAGCCGCGAGGUGGAGCUAAUCUCACAAAGCUUGUCGUAGUCCGGAUUGGAGUCUGCAACUCGACUCCAUGAAGUCGGAAUCGCUAGUAAUCGCGUAUCAGAAUGACGCGGUGAAUACGUUCCCGGGUCUUGUA